RNAcentral lists this long non-coding RNA (282 nucleotides) under Solanum tuberosum (potato). RNAcentral describes it as "long non-coding RNA (STUB_LNC002526)". Lineage: Eukaryota; Viridiplantae; Streptophyta; Magnoliopsida; Solanales; Solanaceae. The record is from RNAcentral.
GCCAGACCAAGGAGGUAGGUAAUAAGAAAAGAAUUAUCAACAUAGAUUUAGUGUGAUACUAUCUAAUAGUCUAAUGUCAAUUGGUGCGAGGGUGAAAGCUAAGUCAUACAUUGAUGUGAUGUCUAAUAUGAGGUAAAGAUAAGGGUUAGUAAAUUAUACACACGUAGCCGGACCAAGGUGCCGGGUGAAAUUCUCUAGUUGCCGGACCAAGGAAUUAGAGAUACCUAACUUACCACUUUGCAUGUAAUACACUAGGAAAGGAUUACUAUUACUAGGAUUACC